CCAGCCUCGGGGCCCAGGCUACACUCUCAGGGGCCCAUCUAAUGCCUGUGCCCAUGAGAGCAGUCUCUGAGCUCUCCCUUCACCCCAUAGGCUCCUUUGUGUUGUAACAAGGUUUGACAGGAAUCACGGCGCCCAGAAGACCACCAGGAAGCAGGGACAGCAUCCCCAGAGGGUAGAAGCCCACAGCUCACAGCUGCAUCCCGAGGAUGACAAGUCCAGUCCCCUCAGCUUCCUGCCUGAGAAAGCGCAACACUGUCAGGAGAAUUGACUGUUUGCUCGAGCCAAAACUUGGUGAUGGGAGAUGGGCCCUGAACCCCGUCUUACAGCAGAGAGAGCCAGUCUCCACCCCUCCAGGACGGAAUCUGUUGUGAAGCGGGUCGUCGGUAAGAUGGUCCUUCUGAAUUGGUCUAAAUGGCGUUGGUAACGAGGGGCCUGUGUUGGAUUCAGGCUGCCUUCACAGGCACGGCGGUCAGACUCAAGACAAACCUGAGUACAAGCGUGGUGGACAGAUCCCCGCUCCCCUGCACCAGAGGCUUCAACCUUAAGGUUGCUGCCACCUCUUUCUCAACAGCACGUAUCUCCCAAGUCCCAGGGCACACCCCGGCCUCCCCACUGCGUGCAAGGACCUUGGGCGCCGGGAGCAGGAGCUCUGCAACCAGAAAUCUCAGCUUUGGGCCGUGCAUGGAGAGGCUGGGUGAUGAACUGGGUCAAGGAUGGGCCCCCAGCGCUGGCGCACAGUUCCUCCACCCCUGCCCCUUCCAGAAGCCUGUCUCUGCCUGGACGUCUGCAGGCCAAGGAACCCAGCGCUUACCCCCUCCCUGUGCUACACAGACCAGUCAGGGGUCCCGUGGGUUCCUGCUGUGACAGGCCCAUGCAGGUCCUCUUGCACCCCAGCAGUUUUACAGAGGAAACAACAUGCAGA
Molecule: long non-coding RNA, 922 nt
Filed under: Equus asinus (donkey)
Lineage: Eukaryota; Metazoa; Chordata; Mammalia; Perissodactyla; Equidae
Description: lncRNA (ENSEASG00005037223.1)
Source: RNAcentral